UGGUAAGGUAAGUUCCUGGUAAAAUUGGGCAGCUUAACUGUCCUUAUGCUAGGAAUACUGCUUUACUAGAGGGCGGGAGAGGUCUGAGGUACUACAGGGGUAGGAGUGAAAUCUUAUAAUCCUUGUAGGACCACCAGUGGCGAAGGCGUCAGACUGGAACGCGCCUGACGGUGAGGGACGAAAGCCAGGGGAGCGAACCGGAUUAGAUACCCGGGUAGUCCUGGCCGUAAACGAUGCACACUAGAUGAUGGUGCGGCCAUGAGCCGUAUCAGUGUCGUAGGGAAACCGUUAAGUGUGCCGCCUGGGAA
RNAcentral lists this ribosomal RNA (308 nucleotides) under uncultured archaeon. Its description in RNAcentral is "bacterial SSU rRNA". It matches the Rfam family "Archaeal small subunit ribosomal RNA", at positions 526 to 834 of the family's 1478-position model. The record is from RNAcentral.